UUCUCCCUGAGACUUAGAGUCUCCUGAAGGAACGUUGAAGACGACGACGUUGAUAGGCCGGGUGUGUAAGCGCAGCGAUGCGUUGAGCUAACCGGUACUAAUGAACCGUGAGGCUUAACCUUACAACGCCGAAG
RNAcentral lists this ribosomal RNA (134 nucleotides) under Salmonella enterica subsp. enterica serovar Infantis. Its description in RNAcentral is "partial 23S ribosomal RNA". It matches the Rfam family "Bacterial large subunit ribosomal RNA", at positions 2809 to 2925 of the family's 2925-position model. Lineage: Bacteria; Pseudomonadati; Pseudomonadota; Gammaproteobacteria; Enterobacterales; Enterobacteriaceae. The record is from RNAcentral. RNAcentral also lists the same sequence under 3 other names.